Molecule: ribosomal RNA, 250 nt
Filed under: uncultured Chroococcidiopsis sp.
Lineage: Bacteria; Bacillati; Cyanobacteriota; Cyanophyceae; Chroococcidiopsidales; Chroococcidiopsidaceae
Description: partial 16S ribosomal RNA
Rfam family: Bacterial small subunit ribosomal RNA
Source: RNAcentral
CUAGCCGUAAACGAUGGAUACUAGGCGUUGUGAGUAUCGACCCUCACAGUGUCGUAGCUAACGCGUUAAGUAUCCCGCCUGGGGAGUACGCGCGCAAGCGUGAAACUCAAAGGAAUUGACGGGGGCCCGCACAAGCGGUGGAGUAUGUGGUUUAAUUCGAUGCAACGCGAAGAACCUUACCAGGACUUGACAUGUCGCGAAUCUCAAGGAAACUUGAGAGUGCCUUCGGGAGCGCGAACACGGGUGGUGC